This is a long non-coding RNA of Homo sapiens (human), 380 nucleotides long. RefSeq lists it as uncharacterized. The record is from RefSeq and is a predicted model, not a curated record. The transcript is spliced from 2 exons. Lineage: Eukaryota; Metazoa; Chordata; Mammalia; Primates; Hominidae.
UUCAGAACCUUGAACCUUGGGUUCAUAAUCUCACAACAAAGAAGGGUCCCUCCAUGUUCUUGGAGCUGUACACCCAUUGGAACUCUUAAGACAUAUGGCCCUAAAGCACCUCAGAAGAAGCUGAAGGAAAUCAGCCUCCAUAGCUUUCAAGCCCCUGGACUCCUGGAGCCAGAAGUUAAUUCACACUCUGAUCUCAGAGAAGUUCAAGACCUUCAGCAGAACUUUUCCUGGCCAGGGCAUUUUUGCCCCUGAGAUAUGUCAUUAAACACUGUAACCAGGAACUUCUGUUCUUACCCCUGUCCUUCCCUUCACCUUUUAUAGUUACUAAAUGCAAUGUUUUAUUUUUCCAAGUACAAAACAAUAAAAUAGUUAUAAAGAAA